RNAcentral lists this ribosomal RNA (469 nucleotides) under uncultured Neisseria sp. RNAcentral describes it as "bacterial SSU rRNA". It matches the Rfam family "Bacterial small subunit ribosomal RNA", at positions 336 to 797 of the family's 1533-position model. Lineage: Bacteria; Pseudomonadati; Pseudomonadota; Betaproteobacteria; Neisseriales; Neisseriaceae. The record is from RNAcentral.
UUCCUACGGGAGGCAGCAGUGGGGAAUUUUGGACAAUGGGCGCAAGCCUGAUCCAGCCAUGCCGCGUGUAUGAAGAAGGCCUUCGGGUUGUAAAGUACUUUUGUCAGGGAAGAAAAGCCUGAGGAUAACACCCUCAGGUCAUGACGGUACCUGAAGAAUAAGCACCGGCUAACUACGUGCCAGCAGCCGCGGUAAUACGUAGGGUGCGAGCGUUAAUCGGAAUUACUGGGCGUAAAGCGAGCGCAGACGGUUAUUUAAGCAAGAUGUGAAAGCCCCGGGCUCAACCUGGGAACUGCGUUUUGAACUGGGUAACUAGAGUGUGUCAGAGGGGGGUAGAAUUCCACGUGUAGCAGUGAAAUGCGUAGAGAUGUGGAGGAAUACCGAUGGCGAAGGCAGCCCCCUGGGAUAACACUGACGUUCAUGCUCGAAAGCGUGGGUAGCAAACAGGAUUAGAUACCCUGGUAGUCCA